CAAACUUUCAACUUAGUGACAGUCUGUGAGUGUUGUCCGAAUGUAAACAAAGCCUUUUUUUUAUUUCUAUUGUUUUUUUUAUUAUUUUAUCUAUAUCAAGAAGAUUAUUUAAGCAACUGGCAUAUCAUUUUUGAUGGCUCACAAGCACUGUAAACUGUGUAAAGGAUAUCGGCAGUGUCACUCACAUAUGCUAGGGAAGCGUCUAUUGGAAAUACCCAUGAGCGCACUUUGGAUGACAUCCCUUCCAUCAUAAAUCUGUUGUAUGCAAGUGAAUUGAAAUUGGGACUUGUAGUCUUUGUUAUUCUUUCGAUUUUUUAUUAUGGUGUUGUGUUACCAAUCUUAAAGAUAAUUGCAACAACUUGCAUAACGUACGUGAUACGUGCAGCGGCCGUUUAUUUGUUUGAUGAGGACGAUAUUGAAAUGGAUGUAGGUGAGGUUAUCGUCGAUCAAUAUUGGGAUUAUGGUGCCCUGCUACGAUUUUUAAACCCUAUUGAAACCUUAAGGAGAAUUCUCAUUGGGUGACGGUGGAGCCAUCACUGAUGAAUUUCUUACAUUUUAAAUUUUGUGUUUCUCGCUUCACAAUAAGACCAUCAAGAUGACAUUUCUUCAGUAAUCCAUUAGGUUACAAUAUAAACACACAGUAAUAACGUAAAGUACAGAGCAUGUAACAUAGAUAUCUUGAAAAAAGAAACAGAUAUGCAUGUCACAGCUUUUACAAUACUUUGUCUACAAUUCUUGUUUUCUUACUGAAGAUAAAGUUAACAGGUCAUUUACGUCAAUAUCCGUUGAUGUUACUCUUGAUAAUUGUUGUCAUUGUAUUGUCUAUUUAUUUUAAAAGUUUUAACUUGGAUCUACCCAGUCUUUUGCUUUAGGUUAAUUGUAAAGUGAAAUGUUCAUUUAAGUAAUGUCCUAUUUUAACAAAGUCAGUCUAGGGCUUACCAUGGAAUACUGUAUUGAUACCAGCUAUAUUUUUAAAUAUUUUUUAAAAAUUUACAUUGUUUUCUUGUUACCCAGUCAGUGUAAUGUAAUUGACCAAAAUUGUUUGUUUUAAUUUAAUUGUUGUUUUUAAAUGGACUUCUGGUAAUUAAAAUUUAAAAUGCCA
Long non-coding RNA from Macrobrachium nipponense, 1102 nucleotides. RefSeq lists it as uncharacterized. The record is from RefSeq and is a predicted model, not a curated record. The transcript has 4 exons. Lineage: Eukaryota; Metazoa; Arthropoda; Malacostraca; Decapoda; Palaemonidae.